CGUCUAUAUACGUAUAGCAUAUCAAUAAGCGGAGGAAAAGAGACUAACUAGGAUUCCCUUAGUAACGGCGAGUGAAGCGGGAAGAGCUCAAAUUUGAAAUCUUCAAGGUUUUACCUUGACGAAUUGUAGUUUAAAGAAGUGUUUUCUGUUGAGUUUCGGUAAAAGUUCUUUGGAAUAGGACAUCAUAGAGGGUGAGAAUCCCGUAUUUGACCAUUAUUUCAACUGUGUGAUACACUUUCAAAGAGUCGGAUUGUUUGGGAAUGCAGUCCAAAAUGGGUGGUAAAUUUCAUCUAAAGCUAAAUAUUGGCGAGAGGACCGAUAGCGAACAAGUACCGUGAGGGAAAGAUGAAAAGAACUUUGAAAAGAGAGUUAAACAGUACGUGAAAUUGUCAAAAGGGAAGCGUUUGACACCAGUGUUGUUUUCUCGAAAAUCAAUUAAAAAUGGACGUGAUUUUGUGUUGUAUUGACCUUAUAAGCUUUCUGCACUCUUUUCAUGUUAUUUUUAAUGCACUUUUCGUUUAACAAGUCAACAUCAAUUUCUUUUGUUGUAAAAAGGGUCAUUGGAAGGUGGCUUUCUUUUCGGAGAAAGUGUUUAUAGCCUUUGACUUCUGCAAUCGGAGAGACUGAGGUCUGCAGCGUAGAUCCUUCUGGGAUUAGAUUACAUUUGUGCUAAGUUAUAGCCUUUUAUAGACAACAUGUUGACUAUGAUUCAGUCAUGUAGCUUACUCGCUUAUGUAUUUUACCUACGCUUAGGAUGUUGACGAUCAGCUGAGCGCG
Molecule: ribosomal RNA, 777 nt
Filed under: uncultured Neocallimastigales
Lineage: Eukaryota; Fungi; Neocallimastigomycota; Neocallimastigomycetes; Neocallimastigales
Description: partial large subunit ribosomal RNA
Rfam family: Eukaryotic large subunit ribosomal RNA
Source: RNAcentral